This 216-nucleotide unclassified non-coding RNA is filed under the name Hevea brasiliensis (rubber tree). The record is from RNAcentral. Lineage: Eukaryota; Viridiplantae; Streptophyta; Magnoliopsida; Malpighiales; Euphorbiaceae.
AUAAAGUCAAUGGGAUUUUUAGCCCAAGGAGGGAGUCUGACGGAAUCAAGGUUCUCCCCUAAUUGAGUGGUGCCAAAAUCAAUCGAGUUUUCAUUUGUUAAGAUCUCAGGAAGGUAAAAAAGCUCUGGAACUAAUUCCUUCACAUCACUCAUAUCUUCCAGAACCCCAUUCCAAGUACCAGAAAUAUCCAAAAACAUCCGAUCAGCAUGAUCAAAU